CUUAACUGGGCGUUAAGUUGCAGGGUAUAGACCCGAAACCCGGUGAUCUAGCCAUGGGCAGGUUGAAGGUUGGGUAACACUAACUGGAGGACCGAACCGACUAAUGUUGAAAAAUUAGCGGAUGACUUGUGGCUGGGGGUGAAAGGCCAAUCAAACCGGGAGAUAGCUGGUUCUCCCCGAAAGCUAUUUAGGUAGCGCCUCGUGAAUUCAUCUCCGGGGGUAGAGCACUGUUUCGGCAAGGGGGUCAUCCCGACUUACCAACCCGAUGCAAACUGCGAAUACCGGAGAAUGUUAUCACGGGAGACACACGGCGGGUGCUAACGUCCGUCGUGAAGAGGGAAACAACCCAGACCGCCAGCUAAGGUCCCAAAGUCAUGGUUAAGUGGGAAACGAUGUGGGAAGGCCCAGACAGCCAGGAUGUUGGCUUAGAAGCAGCCAUCAUUUAAAGAAAGCGUAAUAGCUCACUGGUCGAGUCGGCCUGCGCGGAAGAUGUAACGGGGCUAAACCAUGCACCGAAGCUGCGGCAGCGACACUGUGUGUUGUUGGGUAGGGGAGCGUUCUGUAAGCCUGUGAAGGUGUGCUGUGAGGCAUGCUGGAGGUAUCAGAAGUGCGAAUGCUGACAUAAGUAACGAUAAAGCGGGUGAAAAGCCCGCUCGCCGGAAGACCAAGGGUUCCUGUCCAACGUUAAUCGGGGCAGGGUGAGUCGACCCCUAAGGCGAGGCCGAAAGGCGUAGUCGAUGGGAAACAGGUUAAUAUUCCUGUACUUGGUGUUACUGCGAAGGGGGGACGGAGAAGGCUAUGUUGGCCGGGCGACGGUUGUCCCGGUUUAAGCGUGUAGGCUGGUUUUCCAGGCAAAUCCGGAAAAUCAAGGCUGAGGCGUGAUGACGAGGCACUACGGUGCUGAAGCAACAAAUGCCCUGCUUCCAGGAAAAGCCUCUAAGCAUCAGGUAACAUCAAAUCGUACCCCAAACCGACACAGGUGGUCAGGUAGAGAAUACCAAGGCGCUUGAGAGAACUCGGGUGAAGGAACUAGGCAAAAUGGUGCCGUAACUUCGGGAGAAGGCACGCUGAUAUGUAGGUGAAGUCCCUCGCGGAUGGAGCUGAAAUCAGUCGAAGAUACCAGCUGGCUGCAACUGUUUAUUAAAAACACAGCACUGUGCAAACACGAAAGUGGACGUAUACGGUGUGACGCCUGCCCGGUGCCGGAAGGUUAAUUGAUGGGGUCAGCGCAAGCGAAGCUCUUGAUCGAAGCCCCGGUAAACGGCGGCCGUAACUAUAACGGUCCUAAGGUAGCGAAAUUCCUUGUCGGGUAAGUUCCGACCUGCACGAAUGGCGUAAUGAUGGCCAGGCUGUCUCCACCCGAGACUCAGUGAAAUUGAACUCGCUGUGAAGAUGCAGUGUACCCGCGGCAAGACGGAAAGACCCCGUGAACCUUUACUAUAGCUUGACACUGAACAUUGAGCCUUGAUGUGUAGGAUAGGUGGGAGGCUUUGAAGUGUGGACGCCAGUCUGCAUGGAGCCGACCUUGAAAUACCACCCUUUAAUGUUUGAUGUUCUAACGUGGACCCGUGAUCCGGGUUGCGGACAGUGUCUGGUGGGUAGUUUGACUGGGGCGGUCUCCUCCUAAAGAGUAACGGAGGAGCACGAAGGUUGGCUAAUCCUGGUCGGACAUCAGGAGGUUAGUGCAAUGGCAUAAGCCAGCUUGACUGCGAGCGUGACGGCGCGAGCAGGUGCGAAAGCAGGUCAUAGUGAUCCGGUGGUUCUGAAUGGAAGGGCCAUCGCUCAACGGAUAAAAGGUACUCCGGGGAUAACAGGCUGAUACCGCCCAAGAGUUCAUAUCGACGGCGGUGUUUGGCACCUCGAUGUCGGCUCAUCACAUCCUGGGGCUGAAGUAGGUCCCAAGGGUAUGGCUGUUCGCCAUUUAAAGUGGUACGCGAGCUGGGUUUAGAACGUCGUGAGACAGUUCGGUCCCUAUCUGCCGUGGGCGCUGGAGAACUGAGGGGGGCUGCUCCUAGUACGAGAGGACCGGAGUGGACGCAUCACUGGUGUUCGGGUUGUCAUGCCAAUGGCACUGCCCGGUAGCUAAAUGCGGAAGAGAUAAGUGCUGAAAGCAUCUAAGCACGAAACUUGCCCCGAGAUGAGUUCUCCCUGACCCUUUAAGGGUCCUGAAGGAACGUUGAAGACGACGACGUUGAUAGGCCGGGUGUGUAAGCGCAGCGAUGCGUUGAGCUAACCGGUACUAAUGAACCGUGAGGCUUAACCUU
RNAcentral lists this ribosomal RNA (2264 nucleotides) under Escherichia coli. RNAcentral describes it as "partial 23S ribosomal RNA". It matches the Rfam family "Bacterial large subunit ribosomal RNA", at positions 683 to 2925 of the family's 2925-position model. Lineage: Bacteria; Pseudomonadati; Pseudomonadota; Gammaproteobacteria; Enterobacterales; Enterobacteriaceae. The record is from RNAcentral.